CAUUUUUACAAGGUGUCAGGCGGACAUGACACCCAGGCAGCGAGCGCUAUCUGGAAUAUGACAGGAGGAGGCGUGGCCUGUCCACACCACAAGGUCAGAGGCCGCAACCACGGAGACGAGGAGGCCCGAGAGUCGUCUCAGGAGAAGGUCAAAGGGACGCUGAGACAGGAGUGAGGAUCUGUGGGACAAAUCUGUGACGGUGAGGACACGAGGGGCUAAGGACACAAGGACAAGGUGGAAGGAG
This is a long non-coding RNA of Solea senegalensis (Senegalese sole), 244 nucleotides long. RefSeq lists it as uncharacterized. The transcript has 2 exons. The record is from RefSeq and is a predicted model, not a curated record. NCBI's taxonomy places the organism in Eukaryota, Metazoa, Chordata, Actinopteri, Pleuronectiformes, Soleidae.